CAGAUCUGCGGCUCAUAUGAUCACACACGUGUACCAGUCACAAGGCCACUGGCACCCGUGAAGUACCACACGCAGACACUCAGAUUCACAGACCUAUCUCCACACAGCCUGACUUGCACCCGCCGCUCAACCACCCCCGUCACACAGCAACCCGCAUACCCACCCCAUCACACACACAUCACCCCAGUCACACUCCAGCACAGCCACGGUCUCCACCGCGCCUCUCACCUCACAGCUCAGUCACGAAUCACACUCCAGGCCGUGGACUCCUUCCAGUUAGGUGCUGCUUCAGCACACGCCGUCUGGCACCCAAAGAAUUACACACACGCAGAAACACAACUCAUUCUCAGCCGAAGGCGCAGUCGGUCCCGCAACCCUCACAGCGGCAAACACACACACACACGUACACACGCUCACGAGGCCGGGUACAUAGGGACACACGCCUGUGAACCACGCGCCGGGACUACCUCGAGGGAAGAAUCUGACAGAAUCCGCCUCACAUGCGCUCGGCCUCAGGGCGGCACUACGGACGCACUCGGCUGUCAAGACUCUGGACUCCAUUGUCUGGAGGUGCGUCGAGGAUCGCAUAGCCGGGACUGCUCCCGGCUGAGCUCUGUCAGCUCACCGCGCGAGUACGCGGGUACCAGAGUCCGGGACCAGAGCCGCCCCGUCCGAGCGUGCCUGCGCCUGCGCCUGCGCACUCAGAGCCCAAGCCCACCAGGACCGGCCGUGGACUACAUUUCCCAGAAGCCCCAGGGGGAGGGUGUAAACUUCCACCCCGAGGGCUCCCCGCCGGGCUUUUUGGGUUGCCCAGCCACCGCAGUCCUGCCAGUCUUCACAAGAAGGAUCCUGAAGAGAAAGGAAAAAAUUUUCCCCAUCUUAAAGUGCAGAUCAGUCCUGGCUUCUCUGGAUUCUGUGCUUUUCGAGUGGAGGAAGCCCAAAGAGGACUACCACGUUCUUGCAGUUCUACAACCAUGGCCCAUGUAA
This 987-nucleotide long non-coding RNA is filed under the name Capra hircus (goat). RNAcentral's name for it is "lncRNA (ENSCHIG00010010824.1)". Lineage: Eukaryota; Metazoa; Chordata; Mammalia; Artiodactyla; Bovidae. The record is from RNAcentral.